This 486-nucleotide ribosomal RNA is filed under the name uncultured bacterium. Its description in RNAcentral is "partial 16S ribosomal RNA". It matches the Rfam family "Bacterial small subunit ribosomal RNA", at positions 29 to 507 of the family's 1533-position model. The record is from RNAcentral.
AUUGAACGCUGGCGGCAUGCCUUACACAUGCAAGUCGAACGGCAGCACGGGUGCUUGCACCUGGUGGCGAGUGGCGAACGGGUGAGUAAUACAUCGGAACAUGUCCUGUAGUGGGGGAUAGCCCGGCGAAAGCCGGAUUAAUACCGCAUACGAUCUACGGAUGAAAGCGGGGGACCUUCGGGCCUCGCGCUAUAGGGUUGGCCGAUGGCUGAUUAGCUAGUUGGUGGGGUAAAGGCCUACCAAGGCGACGAUCAGUAGCUGGUCUGAGAGGACGACCAGCCACACUGGGACUGAGACACGGCCCAGACUCCUACGGGAGGCAGCAGUGGGGAAUGUUGGACAAUGGGCGAAAGCCUGAUCCAGCAAGGCCGCGUGUGUGAAGAAGGCCUUCGGGUUGUAAAGCACUUUUGUCCGGAAAGAAAUCCUUGGCCCUAAUACGGUCGGGGGAUGACGGUACCGGAAGAAUAAGCACCGGCUAACUACGUG